Molecule: unclassified non-coding RNA, 248 nt
Filed under: fungal sp.
Lineage: Eukaryota; Fungi
Also listed under: 1 other name
Description: partial internal transcribed spacer region
Rfam family: Eukaryotic small subunit ribosomal RNA (bases 1-46)
Source: RNAcentral
AAGUCGUAACAAGGUAACCGUAGGUGAACCUGCGGUUGGAUCAUUACCGAAAAUUAAUCAUUGCAUAGGCAAGAGCGAGUUUUAUACCCUUUUGUCAAUGCCUUGGUCAAAUUAAUUUUUUGUGCAAUUAUGAUGUUUUUUGGGUCGCUCCUUUGGGGGAGGCCCAAAGUAUUAAACAAACUAUAUCAAUUUGACUUAUAUCUCUAUGUAAAUAGAAACAACUUUUGACAACGGAUCUCUUGGCUCUC